UACGGAGGGUGCAAGCGUUAAUCGGAAUUACUGGGCGUAAAGCGCGCGCAGGCGGUCUUCCAAGUCAGUGGUGAAAGCCCGGAGCUCAACUCCGGAACUGCCAUUGAAACUGUUGGACUUGAGUAUGAGAGAGGUGAGUGGAAUUCCCAGUGUAGAGGUGAAAUUCGUAGAUAUUGGGAAGAACACCGGUGGCGAAGGCGGCUCACUGGCUCAUUACUGACGCUCAGGCGCGACAGCGUGGGGAUCAAACAGG
Molecule: ribosomal RNA, 253 nt
Filed under: uncultured bacterium
Lineage: Bacteria
Description: partial 16S ribosomal RNA
Rfam family: Bacterial small subunit ribosomal RNA
Source: RNAcentral